Molecule: ribosomal RNA, 258 nt
Filed under: uncultured bacterium
Lineage: Bacteria
Description: partial 16S ribosomal RNA
Rfam family: Bacterial small subunit ribosomal RNA
Source: RNAcentral
UUGAACGCUGGCGGCAGGCCUAACACAUGCAAGUCGAGCGGAUGAAGGGAGCUUGCUCCUGGAUUCAGCGGCGGACGGGUGAGUAAUGCCUAGGAAUCUGCCUGGUAGUGGGGGAUAACGUCCGGAAGCGGGCGCUAAUACCGCAUACGUCCUGAGGGAGCAAGUGGGGGAUCUUCGGACCUCACGCUAUCAGAUGUGCCUAGGUCGGAUUAGCUAGUUGGUGGGGUAAAGGCCUACCAAGGCGACGAUCCGUAACUG